UCGAGGGGUAACAUAGAAAAGCUUGCUUUUCUGAUGACGACCGGCGCACGGGUGCGUAACGCGUAUACAAUCUGCCUUAUACUGGGGUAUAGCCUUUAGAAAUGAAGAUUAAUCCCCCAUAGUCUCUUUAAAUGGCAUCAUUUUAAGAGUAAAGGUUACGGUAUAAGAUGAGUAUGCGUUCUAUUAGUUUGUUGGUGAGGUAACGGCUCACCAAGACUGCGAUAGAUAGGGGCCCUGAGAGGGGGAUCCCCCACACUGGUACUGAGACACGGACCAUACUCCUACGGGAGGCAGCAGUGAGGAAUAUUGGACAAUGGAGGCAACUCUGAUCCAGCCAUGCCGCGUGCAGGAAGACUGCCCUAUGGGUUGUAAACUGCUUUUAUACAGGAAGAAACCUUGGUACGUGUACCAAGCUGACGGUACUGUAAGAAUAAGGAUCGGCUAACUCCGUGCCAGCAGCCGCGGUAAUACGGAGGAUCCAAGCGUUAUCCGGAAUCAUUGGGUUUAAAGGGUCCGUAGGUGGAUAAUUAAGUCAGGGGUGAAAUCUUGCAGCUCAACUGUAAAAUUGCCUUUGAUACUGGUUAUCUUGAGUCAUUAUGAAGUAGUUAGAA
This 611-nucleotide ribosomal RNA is filed under the name uncultured bacterium. Its description in RNAcentral is "bacterial SSU rRNA". It matches the Rfam family "Bacterial small subunit ribosomal RNA", at positions 62 to 666 of the family's 1533-position model. The record is from RNAcentral.